AUUCAGAGUUUGAUCCUGGCUCAGAUUGAACGCUGGCGGCAUGCUUUACACAUGCAAGUCGGACGGCAGCACAGAGAAGCUUGCUUCUUGGGUGGCGAGUGGCGAACGGGUGAGUAAUGCAUCGGGACGUACCGAGUAGUGGGGGAUAACUGUCCGAAAGGAUGGCUAAUACCGCAUACGCUUUGAGAAGGAAAGCAGGGGCUCUUCGGACCUUGCGCUAUUCGAGCGGCCGAUGUCUGAUUAGCUGGUUGGUGGGGUAAAGGCCUACCAAGGCGACGAUCAGUAGCGGGUCUGAGAGGAUGAUCCGCCACACUGGGACUGAGACACGGCCCAGACUCCUACGGGAGGCAGCAGUGGGGAAUUUUGGACAAUGGGCGCAAGCCUGAUCCAGCCAUGCCGCGUGUCUGAAGAAGGCCUUCGGGUUGUAAAGGACUUUUGUCAGGGAAGAAAAGGUUGUGGUUAAUACCCAUGACUGAUGACGGUACCUGAAGAAUAAGCACCGGCUAACUACGUGCCAGCAGCCGCGGUAAUACGUAGGGUGCGAGCGUUAAUCGGAAUUACUGGGCGUAAAGCGGGCGCAGACGGUUACUUAAGUCAGAUGUGAAAUCCCCGGGCUCAACCUGGGAACUGCGUUUGAAACUGGGUGACUAGAGUAUGUCAGAGGGGGGUAGAAUUCCACGUGUAGCAGUGAAAUGCGUAGAGAUGUGGAGGAAUACCGAUGGCGAAGGCAGCCCCCUGGGAUAAUACUGACGUUCAUGCCCGAAAGCGUGGGUAGCAAACAGGAUUAGAUACCCUGGUAGUCCACGCCCUAAACGAUGUCAAUUAGCUGUUGGGCAACUUGAUUGCUUAGUAGCGUAGCUAACGCGUGAAAUUGACCGCCUGGGGAGUACGGUCGCAAGAUUAAAACUCAAAGGAAUUGACGGGGACCCGCACAAGCGGUGGAUGAUGUGGAUUAAUUCGAUGCAACGCGAAGAACCUUACCUGGUCUUGACAUGUACGGAAUCCUCCAGAGACGGAGGAGUGCCUUCGGGAGCCGUAACACAGGUGCUGCAUGGCUGUCGUCAGCUCGUGUCGUGAGAUGUUGGGUUAAGUCCCGCAACGAACGCAACCCUUGUCAUUAGUUGCCAUCAUUUGGUUGGGCACUCUAAUGAGACUGCCGGUGACAAGCUGGAGGAAGGUGGGGAUGACGUCAAGUCCUCAUGGCCCUUAUGACCAGGGCUUCACACGUCAUACAAUGGUCGGUACAGAGGGUAGCCAAGCCGCGAGGUGGAGCCAAUCCCACAAAACCGAUCGUAGUCCGGAUUGCACUCUGCAACUCGAGUGCAUGAAGUCGGAAUCGCUAGUAAUCGCAGGUCAGCAUACUGCGGUGAAUACGUUCCCGGGUCUUGUACACACCGCCCGUCACACCAUGGGAGUGGGGGAUACCAGAAGUAGGUAGGGUAACCGCAAGGAGCCCGCUUACCACGGUAUGCUUCAUGACUGGGGUGAAGUCGUAACAAGGUAGCCGUAGGGGAACCUGCGGCUGGAUCACCUCCUAAUC
This 1540-nucleotide ribosomal RNA is filed under the name Neisseria zoodegmatis. RNAcentral describes it as "bacterial SSU rRNA". It matches the Rfam family "Bacterial small subunit ribosomal RNA". Lineage: Bacteria; Pseudomonadati; Pseudomonadota; Betaproteobacteria; Neisseriales; Neisseriaceae. The record is from RNAcentral.